RNAcentral lists this ribosomal RNA (253 nucleotides) under uncultured bacterium. Its description in RNAcentral is "partial 16S ribosomal RNA". It matches the Rfam family "Bacterial small subunit ribosomal RNA", at positions 524 to 776 of the family's 1533-position model. The record is from RNAcentral.
UACGAGGGAUCCUAGCGUUGUUCGGAAUCAUUGGGCGUAAAGGGUGUGUAGGCGGCCAUGUAAGUCAGUUGUGAAAGCCCCGGGCUCAACCCGGGAAGUGCUUCUGAUACUGCUUGGCUUGAGUAUUGGAUAGGUGAGUGGAAUUCCAGGUGUAGUGGUGAAAUACGUAGAUAUCUGGAGGAACACCGGCGGCGAAGGCGGCUUACUGGCCAUAUACUGACGCUGAAACACGAAAGCGUGGGUAGUAAACAGG